Molecule: unclassified non-coding RNA, 258 nt
Filed under: uncultured bacterium
Lineage: Bacteria
Description: contains 16S-23S intergenic spacer region
Rfam family: Bacterial small subunit ribosomal RNA
Source: RNAcentral
GACAGAAAGUGCAUGCGUUAUUCGGAUUGACUGGGCGUUAAGGGUAUGUAGGCGGCUGAAUGUAACUAGGUUGGAAAUGCUCAGGUAUCAGCUGAGAUCUCUUCCUAAAGAUUAUUAAGCUAGAGUUUGGACUGAGUUGGGAAAAUUAGUAAAGUACGCAGGGGUAAAAUCCAAUGAGAUUACUAGGAAGACCAAUGGCGAAAGCACCUUUCUGGGGCAAACUGACGCUGAGGUACGAAAGGUUGGGGAGCAAAGCGG